This is a long non-coding RNA of Micropterus dolomieu (smallmouth bass), 896 nucleotides long. RefSeq lists it as uncharacterized. The record is from RefSeq and is a predicted model, not a curated record. The transcript is spliced from 3 exons. Lineage: Eukaryota; Metazoa; Chordata; Actinopteri; Centrarchiformes; Centrarchidae.
UUCAGUUUAGUGCAAUUUGAAAAUCAAAUUGAAUCCUCCAUGUCCCAGUUUGUGAAUGUUACAUUGGCUUUGUGUGUUAAUACAGCAGAGAGCAAAGACUGUUUACAUUCAAAAGCUUUACAGAGAGGGAUGGUGCAUCCAUGCACUCUUGUAUAGAUUCAAACAAACCUCCCAAAUGAAUGUGAAGUCUCAAAUGUCAGGUUUCCAGCUGCAUUAGAAAACAUAAUACCCAGAAAUAAUCAAGUACCUUUGGCUAAGACAUAACUUUAUAUAAUAUUAAUUUAGUAGGAUCUAUCACUUACAGCACCUAUUCCAUAUUGUGAACUGCUGUCUGCAAGUUGAUAUUUGUUGUACAAAAAUGGUAGGAAAGAAGUGACUGACUGCACUUGAAAGGUCUGAUGGUAUGUUCCUUUAAGGUGACCUUCUGGAGUGCUGCUUCUCUGGCCUUGCUGCUUGGGGAUUAAAUUGAUGCUGUUUCUCUUGGAAAACCUCCAAGUGAUAAACCCAAACCACAAACAUGGUACAUACAUCGAACAGCACACAGCGUCAUCUACAUCAUCAUCAUCAAAAAAAAAAAAAAGAAGAACAGAAAUACACAUUCUACACUGGAACAAAGCUUAAAAAUUAUGAGUAUAAUGGUAAUUAAGGAGUAUAUCACAAGACUGCCCAUGUACCAUGAAAUGUCAAAAACAGGAAAGAAAGUGAGAUACAAAAAAAAAAUGUUUGAUGAAGAAAUUAAAAGAUAGACGUGGGAAUAUUUUUAAUACUGUAAUAUCCAUCAGACAAACACAAAAGUACAUUAUAAAUUCUUCUCUGACUUCCAGUUGCUCUGUGUCCUUUUUCAACUGGUACUUCUGGUGACAUGAGACUUGAAACUUCUGCUCAGACUGAUGAGC